Non-coding RNA from Camelina sativa (false flax), 98 nucleotides. NCBI's taxonomy places the organism in Eukaryota, Viridiplantae, Streptophyta, Magnoliopsida, Brassicales, Brassicaceae. The record is from RefSeq and is a predicted model, not a curated record.
UGGAAAUCAACAAUAUUGCAGAGAUUUUGGAGGUGACAACAAAAGUUUUACAAAAUGGUGAAGUUUACAGCUGAUGAGCUCCGACGGAUUAUGGACUA